This 548-nucleotide transfer RNA is filed under the name Pseudomonas syringae. Its description in RNAcentral is "partial 16S-23S ribosomal RNA intergenic spacer". The stretch from base 124 to 197 matches the Rfam family "tRNA". The record is from RNAcentral. Lineage: Bacteria; Pseudomonadati; Pseudomonadota; Gammaproteobacteria; Pseudomonadales; Pseudomonadaceae.
AUCGACGACUCAGCUGCACCAUAAGCACCCACACGAAUUGCUUGAUUCAUUGAAGAAGACGAUUAGAAGCAGCUUUAAGCUCCAAGCUGAUAGCUCAACGCUAGCGGCUACAAGCUCGAAAUUGGGUCUGUAGCUCAGUUGGUUAGAGCGCACCCCUGAUAAGGGUGAGGUCGGCAGUUCGAAUCUGCCCAGACCCACCAAUUUUGUGUGGGAAACGCCUGUAGAAAUACGGGGCCAUAGCUCAGCUGGGAGAGCGCCUGCCUUGCACGCAGGAGGUCAGCGGUUCGAUCCCGCUUGGCUCCACCAUUUACUGCUUCUGUUUGAAAGCUUAGAAAUGAGCAUUCCACCCCGAGAGAUUGAAGGGUGCGUGAAUGUUGAUUUCUAGUCUUUGAUUAGAUCGUUCUUUAAAAUUUGGGUAUGUGAUAGAAAGAAAUAUAGACCGGGCACCUCUUUCACUGGGGGCGGUCCGGGCUAAGGUAAAGUUUGUGAAAUGCAAACUUUCCGCGAAUGUCGUCUUCACAGUAUAACCAGAUUGCUUGGGGUUAUAU